Non-coding RNA from Schizosaccharomyces pombe (fission yeast), 895 nucleotides. The record is from the annotation of a GenBank genome assembly. NCBI's taxonomy places the organism in Eukaryota, Fungi, Ascomycota, Schizosaccharomycetes, Schizosaccharomycetales, Schizosaccharomycetaceae.
AAAGGUUUUUGCAAAUUUCUUGUAAAAAAUUGAAUUGAGGUAAGUGGAAUAUCAUGGUAUAUGUAUAACGUAUAUACAUGGCAAACUAUGGAAAUACGGUAUGGCGAAUAACGGAUGAGCGUGAAGUAAGGAAUGGGUUUUAACAAACGAAUGUUGAAAUUCUAAAUCAAGGACCAAUUUUAAGUACUUUUACAUUUAUCUUGUUCGUCAGUUUCAUCUUCUGUUUCACUACGAAAGGAGAAGAGUGUUUUCAAUUCGUCACGAUACCAAGCAGUUAGUAAUGGAGCGACAAUACAGGCAGGACUGAGAUAAAGCAAAGCUGGCUGUGCUGCUUUAAAGUAAUAUAAUGCAAAAUUUGUAACUCCAAGGCCAAGCCCAUAAGCUAUAAAGGUAUUCCGAAAAUAUGUCGAGUGCUUCUUAGGCUGGGAGGUAGAAUUAAUAUAGUAGUGAAGAUCGAAUCGAUACAUUAACGCAAGCAUCAAUCCAGGCAUGACAAUGUCACCCAAACCAAGCAUCGAAAGCCUUGUAGGGUUUUUGAAUUGAGGAAGUACAUACUUAGCUGGAAUGUCAAUUCCAGUAGCUACCGUCACCAUGACUUCGGUACCAAAUACAAAAUAGAUAUCGUAGAAGAAAAGGGCACCAAGGAGAAGCGCACCAGUAUUAUACGAAUCAAUUCUCAUAAUACUAAUGGAAUUAGCAGCUAAUGCCCAUGCCAAAAUAUUGGAUGCCAUCCAAUGUUUAGUUUUAAAGUAGAAUAAUGCAAUGGCAAUUGAACUCAUGGUUGCGGUAAUUUUUCCAAAUGUCGUUUUUGGAUUAAAGCUACGUACAAAACAUAUUAUGGAUGCUAAGCUUGCGUAGCCCUGUAGUAUCAGCUGAAUAUAUUCUUUACUCAGAU